AGUGAACGCUGGCGGUAGGCCUAACACAUGCAAGUCGAACGGCAGCACAGUAAGAGCUUGCUCUUACGGGUGGCGAGUGGCGGACGGGUGAGGAAUACAUCGGAAUCUACUUUUUCGUGGGGGAUAACGUAGGGAAACUUACGCUAAUACCGCAUACGACCUACGGGUGAAAGCAGGGGAUCUUCGGACCUUGCGCGAUUGAAUGAGCCGAUGUCGGAUUAGCUAGUUGGCGGGGUAAAGGCCCACCAAGGCGACGAUCCGUAGCUGGUCUGAGAGGAUGAUCAGCCACACUGGAACUGAGACACGGUCCAGACUCCUACGGGAGGCAGCAGUGGGGAAUAUUGGACAAUGGGCGCAAGCCUGAUCCAGCCAUACCGCGUGGGUGAAGAAGGCCUUCGGGUUGUAAGGCCCUUUUGUCGGGAAAGAAAAGCAGCAGGUUAAUACCCCGCUGUUCUGACGGUACCCAAAGAAUAAGCACCGGCUAACUUCGUG
This 492-nucleotide ribosomal RNA is filed under the name uncultured bacterium. RNAcentral's name for it is "partial 16S ribosomal RNA". It matches the Rfam family "Bacterial small subunit ribosomal RNA", at positions 29 to 507 of the family's 1533-position model. The record is from RNAcentral.